RNAcentral lists this ribosomal RNA (495 nucleotides) under uncultured bacterium. Its description in RNAcentral is "partial 16S ribosomal RNA". It matches the Rfam family "Bacterial small subunit ribosomal RNA", at positions 28 to 507 of the family's 1533-position model. The record is from RNAcentral.
GACGAACGCUGGCGGCGUGCCUAAUACAUGCAAGUAGAACGCUGAAGGAGGGGCUUGCUCUUCUGGAUGAGUUGCGCACGGGUGAGUAACGCGUAGGUAACCUGCCUGGUAGCGGGGGAUAACUCUUGGAAACGAUAGCUAAUACCGCAUAACAGUAUAUGUUGCAUGACAUUUACUUAAAAGGUGCAAUUGCAUCACUACCAGAUGGACCUUCGUUGUAUUAGCUGGUUGGUGGGGUAACGGCUCACCAAGGCGACGAUACAUAGUCGACCUGAGAGGGGGAUCGGCCAAAAUGGGACUGAGACAAGGCCCAGACUCCUACGGGAAGCAGCAGUAGGGAAUCCUCGGCAAUGGACGGAAGUCUGACCGAGCAACGCCGCGUGAGGGAAGAAGGGUCUCGGAUCGUAAAGCUCCGUUGUAUGAGAAGAACGAGUGUUAGAGUGGAAAGUUCACACUGUGACGGUAUCUAACCAGAAAGCGACGGCUAACUACGUG